UGGGGAAUAUUGGACAAUGGGCGCAAGCCUGAUCCAGCCAUGCCGCGUGUGUGAAGAAGGCCUUUUGGUUGUAAAGCACUUUAAGCGAGGAGGAGGCUACUUGGAUUAAUACUCUAGGAUAGUGGACGUUACUCGCAGAAUAAGCACCGGCUAACUCUGUGCCAGCAGCCGCGGUAAUACAGAGGGUGCGAGCGUUAAUCGGAUUUACUGGGCGUAAAGCGUGCGUAGGCGGCUUCUUAAGUCGGAUGUGAAAUCCCUGAGCUUAACUUAGGAAUUGCAUUCGAUACUGGGAAGCUAGAGUAUGGGAGAGGAUGGUAGAAUUCCAGGUGUAGCGGUGAAAAGCGUAGAGAUCUGGAGGAAUACCGAUGGCGAAGGCAGCCAUCUGGCCUAAUACUGACGCUGAGGUACGAAAGCAUGGGGAGCAAACAGG
RNAcentral lists this ribosomal RNA (430 nucleotides) under bacterium. RNAcentral describes it as "partial 16S ribosomal RNA". It matches the Rfam family "Bacterial small subunit ribosomal RNA", at positions 355 to 776 of the family's 1533-position model. The record is from RNAcentral.